UCCCCUUAAGGUAAACGGCGAGUGAAGAGGGAAAAGCCCAGCACCGAASCCUGCGGCAGAUUUGCUGCUAGGCAAUGUGGUGUUUGGGUCGGCUCGUGGGACCGCCACUCCACUCGAAGUCCAGCAUUGAGUAUGGUCACUGGAUUUGGCCCAGAGAGGGUGAAAGGCCCGUACGGGUGGAGGUUCAGACAUGUGAGGCGGUUCACCAGGCCGACCUUAGAGUCGGGUUGUUUGGGAAUGCAGCCCAAAGCGGGUGGUAAACUCCAUCCAAGGCUAAAUACAAGCACGAGUCCGAUAGCGAACAAGUACCGUGAGGGAAAGUUGAAAAGUACUCUGAAGAGAGAGUAAACAGUACGUGAAACCGCAUGCAGGUAAACGGGUGGCGUCAAGCUGCAAGCCCAGAGGAUUCAGCCGGCUAGGUUGUUGUGUAUGCGCCUGGCGCAUCUAUCAGUCGGAGUAUGAUAGGAUAGUCCACCGGUAGACGGUGGGCCCGGCCGCAAGGUCGGGAUAUGUGUACCGGGUGGGUGCCGGAGCAUGCUAUCCGUCUGGGGGCUGUCUAGCCGGUGCACUUUCUCUGUGGUGAACACCACGACCGGUGGUAUUGCCAGUCUGCUGUGUCCAAGUCGUAUCCGGUAGGUCCUUGUGGCCAACUGGGUGCGAUCACAGGCAAACUCAGUUAACGGCGUAGAGAUGCCCUGGUAUCUCUGCGUGUUAUCGGCUACUGGUUGUCAGCGGGCCUGCUCGAUGUUUUGUUUGUUGUAACCGGCAUCGGUGGUCUGGUGGGACAUGGUGGUAAGAUAACUGUGCAAGGCACCGGAGUUAUCGGCCUCAAUGUGUCCUGUGCCAUGUUACAGUGGCACAGUGCAGUGUCGUUAUUGUCUGGCCGGUGUGGAUCUGAUGGUCCUGUCGCUKGCCCAGCUAGCCCCGCARGUGCYCU
Molecule: ribosomal RNA, 937 nt
Filed under: Ophiotaenia tigrina
Lineage: Eukaryota; Metazoa; Platyhelminthes; Cestoda; Proteocephalidea; Proteocephalidae
Description: LSU rRNA
Rfam family: Eukaryotic large subunit ribosomal RNA
Source: RNAcentral